This 741-nucleotide ribosomal RNA is filed under the name Serratia liquefaciens. RNAcentral's name for it is "bacterial SSU rRNA". It matches the Rfam family "Bacterial small subunit ribosomal RNA", at positions 56 to 789 of the family's 1533-position model. The record is from RNAcentral. Lineage: Bacteria; Pseudomonadati; Pseudomonadota; Gammaproteobacteria; Enterobacterales; Yersiniaceae.
UGCAGUCGAGCGGUAGCACAGGGAGCUUGCUCCUGGGUGACAAGCGGCGGACGGGUGAGUAAUGUCUGGGAAACUGCCUGAUGGAGGGGGAUAACUACUGGAAACGGUAGCUAAUACCGCAUAAUGUCUACGGACCAAAGUGGGGGACCUUCGGGCCUCAUGCCAUCACAUGUGCCCACAUGGGAUUAUCUAUUAGGUGGGGUAAUGGCUCACCUAUGCGACAAUCCCUAUCUGGUCUGAGAGGAUGACCACCCACACUGGAACUGAGACACGGUCCACACUCCUACGGGAGGCAGCAGUGGGGAAUAUUGCGCAAUGGGCGCAAGCCUGAUGCACCCAUGCCGCGUGUGUGAAAAAAGCCUUCGGGUUGUAAAGCACUUUCUCCGAGGAGGAAGGGUUCUGUGUUAAUAGCACUGUGCAUUGACGUUACUCGCAGAAAAAACACCGGCUAACUCCGUGCCACCAGCCGCGGUAAUACGGAGGGUGCAAGCGUUAAUCGGAAUUACUGGGCGUAAAGCGCACGCAGGCGGUUUGUUAAGUCACAUGUGAAAUCCCCGCGCUUAUCGUGGGAACUGCGUUUGAAACUGUGAAGCUAUAGUCUUGUAUAGGGGGGUAUAAUUCCAGGUGUAUCGGUGAAAUGCGUAUAGAUCUGGAGGAGUACCGGUGUCGAAAGCGGCCCCCUGUACAAAGACUGACACUCACGUGCGAAAGCGUGUGGAGCACACACGAUUAUAUACACUG